GAUGAACGCUGGCGGCAUGCCUAACACAUGCAAGUCGGACGGGAAGAGGUGUUUCCCGUGGCGGUCGGGUGAGUAACGCGUAAGAAACUGCCCUUGGGCGGGGAACAACAGCUGGAUAAGGCUGCUAAUACCCCGCAGGCUGAGCAGCAAACGGAGGAAUGCGCCUGCGGGGGGGCUCGCGUCUGCUUAGCUAGUUGGUCCGGCAAUAGCUUACCUAGGCGAUGAUCAGUAGCUGGUCCGAGUGGAUGAUCGGCCACACUGCGACGGAGAGACGGAGUAGGCUACUUCGGGAGACAGGAGAAAGGAUGUUUCAGCAAUGGGCGAAGGCCUGACAAAGCAUUGCGGCGGGGAAGUAGAAUGACUAGGGAUGGAGAACUGCUUUUCCCGGAGAAGAAGCAUUGACGGUAUCUGGGGAAUAAGCAUCGGCUAACUCUGUG
Molecule: ribosomal RNA, 437 nt
Filed under: uncultured bacterium
Lineage: Bacteria
Description: partial 16S ribosomal RNA
Rfam family: Bacterial small subunit ribosomal RNA
Source: RNAcentral